RNAcentral lists this transfer RNA (71 nucleotides) under Wolfiporia cocos. Its description in RNAcentral is "tRNA-Cys". It matches the Rfam family "tRNA". Rfam says of the family: Transfer RNA (tRNA) molecules are approximately 80 nucleotides in length. Their secondary structure includes four short double-helical elements and three loops (D, anti-codon, and T loops). The record is from RNAcentral. Lineage: Eukaryota; Fungi; Basidiomycota; Agaricomycetes; Polyporales; Phaeolaceae.
GGUUAAGUUUACAGAUGGUUCUGUAGUGGAUCUGCAAAGUCCGUAUUAAAGGUUCGAUUCCUUCUUAGCCC